This is a non-coding RNA of Erythranthe guttata (spotted monkey flower), 483 nucleotides long. The record is from RefSeq and is a predicted model, not a curated record. Lineage: Eukaryota; Viridiplantae; Streptophyta; Magnoliopsida; Lamiales; Phrymaceae.
AGCAGUUCAGGAAUGCAAGAAGAAACGGCAACCAAAAAUGUCAUUUACAAACAAGUUUUGGCAGCAGGCUGCAUUAGGAAUGACUGAUGUAGUUGAUAUGAUGAAGUAUGUCCCUGAUGCUUCAAUCUCAAACCACCCAACUGUAUAUAAGGUAAUAUGUAAUAAUGUUGAUCUUAAUGUUAAACAGCACAAUAAUAAAUUGUCACUAAAUCAGUUUUAUAACAUGUAAUAUCUAAGUUUAAAUAUUACAUUUUUUGCUAUAGCUUUCAUGGGUUUCAUGGAGAGGUCUAUCCAUUUACACACUCCUCGAUGUAUUCAACUUUUAUUUAGAAAUUUCAUAUCGAGAAGAAGUGUUAGUUACAAAUAAAUGAAAAUAUUAAUCUCCAACUUUCUCACUGAACAAUCAAUGGAGGUUAUUCUUUGUUAUCUUCAAAAUGUUGGUUGUCAAGAGAUAUUUAUUUAUAGGGGAAAUUAUUGUUUUCA